UAUGAAACUGCCCUCGGGAC
Molecule: unclassified non-coding RNA, 20 nt
Filed under: Chlamydomonas reinhardtii
Lineage: Eukaryota; Viridiplantae; Chlorophyta; Chlorophyceae; Chlamydomonadales; Chlamydomonadaceae
Description: small RNA Cre_2379
Source: RNAcentral